RNAcentral lists this unclassified non-coding RNA (328 nucleotides) under soil metagenome. Its description in RNAcentral is "partial contains 5.8S ribosomal RNA, internal transcribed spacer 2, and large subunit ribosomal RNA". The stretch from base 1 to 120 matches the Rfam family "5.8S ribosomal RNA", at positions 35 to 154 of the family's 154-position model. The record is from RNAcentral.
GAUGAAGAACGUAGCGAAAUGCGAUAAGUAGUGUGAAUUGCAGAAUUCAGUGAAUCAUCGAAUCUUUGAACGCACAUUGCGCCCCUUGGUAUCCCGAGGGGCAUGCCUGUUCGAGCGUCAUUAUAACCCUCAAGCUCAGCUUGGUGUUGGGGCCUGCUGCACUGGCAGCCCUUAAAAUCAGUGGCGGCGCCAUCUGGCUCUAAGCGUAGUAAUUCUUCUCGCUAUGGAGUCCUGGUGGAUGCUUGCCAUCAACCCCCAAUUUUUCUAUGGUUGACCUCGGAUCAGGUAGGGAUACCCGCUGAACUUAAGCAUAUCAAUAAGCGGAGGA